RNAcentral lists this ribosomal RNA (402 nucleotides) under bacterium. RNAcentral describes it as "partial 16S ribosomal RNA". It matches the Rfam family "Bacterial small subunit ribosomal RNA", at positions 355 to 776 of the family's 1533-position model. The record is from RNAcentral.
UGGGGAAUUUUGCACAAUGGGGGAAACCCUGAUGCAGCGACGCCGCGUGCUUUAGAAGGCCUUCGGGUUGUAAAAAUCUUUUCUAUGGGAAGAAAAUGACAGUACCAUAGGAAUAAGGACCGGCUAAUUACGUGCCAGCAGCCGCGGUAAUACGUAAGGUCCGAGCGUUGUCCGGAAUCAUUGGGCGUAAAGGGUACGUAGGCGGGUAAGCAAGUUAGAAGUGAAAUCCUAUAGCUCAACUAUAGUAAGCUUUUAAAACUGCUCAUCUUGAGGUAUGGAAGGGAAAGUGGAAUUCCUAGUGUAGCGGUGAAAUGCGCAGAUAUUAGGAGGAAUACCGGUGGCGAAGGCGACUUUCUGGCCAUAACCUGACGCUGAGGUACGAAAGCGUGGGUAGCAAACAGG